This 433-nucleotide ribosomal RNA is filed under the name uncultured bacterium. Its description in RNAcentral is "partial 16S ribosomal RNA". It matches the Rfam family "Bacterial small subunit ribosomal RNA", at positions 29 to 507 of the family's 1533-position model. The record is from RNAcentral.
AACGAACGCUGGCGGCAUGCCUAACACAUGCAAGUCGAACGAGACCUUCGGGUCUAGUGGCGCACGGGUGCGUAACGCGUGGGAACCUGCCCUUAGGUUCGGAAUAACUCCCCGAAAGGGGUGCUAAUACCGGAUAAUGUCUUCGGACCAAAGAUUUAUCGCCUUUGGAUGGGCCCGCGUUGGAUUAGCUAGUUGGUAGGGUAAAAGCCUACCAAGGCGACGAUCCAUAGCUGGUCUGAGAGGAUGAUCAGCCACACUGGGACUGAGACACGGCCCAGACUCCUACGGGAGGCAGCAGUGGGGAAUAUUUGACCAUGGGCGAAAGCCUGAUCCAGCAAUGCCGCGUGAGUGAUGAAGGCCUUAGGGUUGUAAAGCUCUUUUACCCGGGAUGAUAAUGACAGUACCGGGAGAAUAAGCUCCGGCUAACUCCGUG